GGGUACCUUCACAUUUUUAAAAAAAGAUGCCUUUAAAUUAGAUUUAACUAUAAAGUUAGAGUUAAGAUAUAUCAUUAAUUUGUAUGUUGUUUCUUUAAUUCCAUUUGUUUGGUCACCAAGAAAUCAAAGGCAAAAGAAGACAAGGAAGUGGGUCUUUCAUUUUUUUUUGUCUCCCUUGAUAGUGUUCUAUCUAAGCCAUAUCUUUGUAUCUCAGUUGAGUGUGCAUAUAUUCGGUUUUGGUAGAUGUUUGACAAGUUCGCAAUGUUUCAAUCCUAACCGAACUUUCAAUUUUCUUUGUUGAAAGCUCGAUGUCGAUUCCUAUAAUGUUUUUUGAAUUUUUGCAGCAAAUGCUUGGACUAUGCAGAAUUUGUGAAUUGAACAAGUUUAAAGGGUUAGAAAGAACUGCAAAAGCUUGAAUUAGGGUUUCGAUUUCAAGAAAUGGAUUUUAAUUGCUGGGUUUAAAGUCAAUUGCAUGUUUUUAGUGAAGAACAUCAACUACUAAGUGUUUGAUUACCAUAUGAGAGCUAUCUGGUUGGGAUACUGAUAAAAUGUUUUGGGAAGUUUUGCUUGCGGAAGGAACCUUAGAAGUAGGUUCUUGAAUCCUUUGAAGUUCUUGCCGUUAAAAGAACCUUCCCAAUUGCUUAAUAAACCUUUGAAUCUGAGCAUGAGGAAAUUUUAUGUCCUACUUUUACCUGUUGAAUUGCACCAUACCUUGCAAAAUAUUUUAAGUUCACUCAGCGCUGAGAUGUCAGUGUGCUCUUCUGGGAGAAAGAAAAGUAGGAAAUGAUUCUUUGCUGCAGAUGCCUUAUGAUAAUUCAACUUGUUCAAUUGUUGGGCGGAUGAAUAUAUACAUGUAUUUGUAUGAUACUGACGUGGAUUCCAUGCAUUUUGCAAUUUUCUAGCAUUAUGAAGAAUUUGGUUAUUAACUAUGAAUAGGAUAACAUCAAAACAAUGUUGAAAUUUGAAUGCCUACCUAACGGAAUUUUUUUUUUCUACAGGGGUUGUAAGGCCUGUGGGAGACAGGAAAUUGAGAAGGGCUGCAAUGGAGAAGGAAGGAUUCAAGGUGGGAUUGCAACAUUUCCAGGGUUUGGUUGGUGGCCAAUAAAGGCUUACAGACCAUGUCCUGGAUUUGUGGCAUCUGGUGGCAGGUAUAGGCGGCAAGGGCAAAGCAUGGAUGAAGUUGCCUUUGGGAGGGGGGAGAAAAGAACUCGUACAGGAAGCAGCACUGAGGUUGAAUC
Molecule: unclassified non-coding RNA, 1238 nt
Filed under: Hevea brasiliensis (rubber tree)
Lineage: Eukaryota; Viridiplantae; Streptophyta; Magnoliopsida; Malpighiales; Euphorbiaceae
Source: RNAcentral